RNAcentral lists this unclassified non-coding RNA (167 nucleotides) under fungal sp. RNAcentral's name for it is "partial internal transcribed spacer region". The record is from RNAcentral. Lineage: Eukaryota; Fungi.
AAGUCGUAACAAGGUUUCCGCCUCACCGGGAGUGCGUUUUGUCCAAACAUUUUACAACAAACCACAUUUCAUUAAACUCUUGACUGAGACAAUACAGGUCACGCCUAAAAACGUUGAUCUCAAAAACCUAACCAUUACAACUUUUAACAACGGAUAUCUUGGCUCGC